AAUCCAUAGGUUAAUGAGGCGAACCGGGGGAACUGAAACAUCUAAGUACCCCGAGGAAAAGAAAUCAACCGAGAUUCCCCCAGUAGCGGCGAGCGAACGGGGAGGAGCCCAGAGCCUGAAUCAGCAUGUGUGUUAGUGGAAGCGUCUGGAAAGGCGCGCGAUACAGGGUGACAGCCCCGUACACAAAAGCGCAUGUGCUGUGAGCUCGAUGAGUAGGGCGGGACACGUGGUAUCCUGUCUGAAUAUGGGGGGACCAUCCUCCAAGGCUAAAUACUCCUGACUGACCGAUAGUGAACCAGUACCGUGAGGGAAAGGCGAAAAGAACCCCGGCGAGGGGAGUGAAAAAGAACCUGAAACCGUGUACGUACAAGCAGUGGGAGCACAGGUUUACCUGUGUGACUGCGUACCUUUUGUAUAAUGGGUCAGCGACUUAUAUUCUGUAGCAAGGUUAACCGAAUAGGGGAGCCGGAGGGAAACCGAGUCUUAAUUGGGCGUUAAGUUGCAGGGUAUAGACCCGAAACCCGGUGAUCUAGCCAUGGGCAGGUUGAAGGUUGGGUAACACUAACUGGAGGACCGAACCGACUAAUGUUGAAAAAUUAGCGGAUGACCUGUGGCUGGGGGUGAAAGGCCAAUCAAACCGGGAGAUAGCUGGUUCUCCCCGAAAGCUAUUUAGGUAGCGCCUCGUGAAUUCAUCUCCGGGGGUAGAGCACUGUUUCGGCUAGGGGGCCAUCCCGGCUUACCAACCCGAUGCAAACUGCGAAUACCGGAGAAUGUUAUCACGGGAGACACACGGCGGGUGCUAACGUCCGUCGUGA
RNAcentral lists this ribosomal RNA (815 nucleotides) under Salmonella enterica. RNAcentral describes it as "partial 23S ribosomal RNA". It matches the Rfam family "Bacterial large subunit ribosomal RNA", at positions 161 to 1013 of the family's 2925-position model. The record is from RNAcentral. Lineage: Bacteria; Pseudomonadati; Pseudomonadota; Gammaproteobacteria; Enterobacterales; Enterobacteriaceae.